AUGUUGUUAGUAUAAUUUAUUAUACUACUUUUCCAAAGUUGAGAUCUAUUUUUAGACAACAUA
This 63-nucleotide transfer RNA is filed under the name Dipylidium caninum. RNAcentral describes it as "tRNA-Gly". Lineage: Eukaryota; Metazoa; Platyhelminthes; Cestoda; Cyclophyllidea; Dipylidiidae. The record is from RNAcentral.